AUGAUAAUGUUUAUUGUUCAUGCACCUGAUCAAUGUAUUGUCUGUGAACAUUCAGUUGAAAAGCUCGUGCUCGGUCUAGAGGGAGUAUUUGUUUACAGCCCAUCAUGGUAUUCCCUCGGUAUACAAGAAUUAAGGCGGCUUCAGAACAUAUUAACAAUUUCAGGCAUGUCACAUGUUUACAGCCCAUUCUUGCCUUGUGAACAAUUUCCGGCAUGUCACAUGUUUACAGCCCAUUCUUGCCUUGUGAAUGGGCGGUUACAGAGGGAGUAUUUGUUCAUUAUUCCAGAGGGAGUAUUUGUUAUGGGUACAUGGGCACAUGACUAG
Molecule: ribosomal RNA, 324 nt
Filed under: Triticum aestivum (bread wheat)
Lineage: Eukaryota; Viridiplantae; Streptophyta; Magnoliopsida; Poales; Poaceae
Description: partial small subunit ribosomal RNA
Source: RNAcentral